GAUGAAGAACGUAGCGAAAUGCGAUAAGUAAUGUGAAUUGCAGAAUUCAGUGAAUCAUCGAAUCUUUGAACGCACAUUGCGCCCGCCAGUAUUCUGGCGGGCAUGCCUGUUCGAGCGUCAUUACAACCCUCAAGCCCCCCGGCUUGGUGUUGGGGACCGGCCACCGGUGCCCUGCUGCUUCCGCGGCAGGCGCACCCGGCCGCCCCCGAAAUGAAUUGGCGGCCCCGUCGCGGCCUCCCUCUGCGUAGUAGCACACAUCUCGCAGCUGGGGCGCGGCGCGGCCACUGCCGUAAAACGCACCAACUUUUUUUACAGUUGACCUCGAAUCAGGUAGGAAUACCCGCUGAACUUAAGCAUAUCAAUAAGCGGAGGA
RNAcentral lists this unclassified non-coding RNA (373 nucleotides) under soil metagenome. RNAcentral describes it as "partial contains 5.8S ribosomal RNA, internal transcribed spacer 2, and large subunit ribosomal RNA". The stretch from base 1 to 120 matches the Rfam family "5.8S ribosomal RNA", at positions 35 to 154 of the family's 154-position model. The record is from RNAcentral.